This 1297-nucleotide long non-coding RNA is filed under the name Homo sapiens (human). Its description in RNAcentral is "HSALNT0359745". The record is from RNAcentral. Lineage: Eukaryota; Metazoa; Chordata; Mammalia; Primates; Hominidae.
GCCCGCAUGCAGGCUCCCGGGCCGGCUGCGGAAGCUGUGGGCCUGGACUGGGGGUAGCAGCAGAGGGGCGGCCAGGUAGGUGCAGCCUUGGGGAGCCGGCGGGAUCCAGAGCGGGGCUCCUCUCCGCACUUUGUAGCUGCGUUGCUCCGCUCCAUGCCCUGCCUCAGCCACUCCUCCUGGUUACCAGGCAAAAGGAAACACCUUGAGCUGGCCAGGAGCUACCAGCGUCUGUCUACACCUGGGCUGGAGUGCAGCGGCAUGAUCUCGGCACACUGCAGCCACCGUCUUCCAGGUUCAAGCGAUUCUCCCACCUCAGCCUCCCGAGGAGCUGGGAUUACAGGAGUUCAGUGGCAUGACCAGGGCUCACUGCAACCUUGAUCUGGGCUCAAGUGAUCCUCCUACCUCAGCUUCCUGAGUAGCUAGGACCACAGGUGUGCACCAACCACACCCGACUAAUUUUUGUAGAGAUGAGAUCCCACUAUGUUACCCAGGCUGGUCUUGAACUCCUGGGCUCAGGUGAUCAUCCUGCCUUGGCUUCCCAAAGUACUGGGAUUAUAGGCUUGAGCCACCGUGCCUGGCCUGUGAUCAGAAUUCUCAUUUUUUUAGUCACUAAAAAUGCUGGGGGGCACUCCAUUCUCCAUUAUGUGAUUAGUUCACAUUGCAUGCUUGUAUCAAAACAUCAUAUAUACCCCACAAAUAUAUACAAAAAACUUUAAAAUUUUAAGUAUUAAUUGCUCAGGAAAAAAUUAAAAUGCUGGGGUGCUGAAAUCUCAAGGGCCCCAUUACAAAACUCCUUAGGAACCUCGCCCUCUCUCUGCUGUAAGGACUGGUUCCAGAAUGAGAGAAUUUAAAAGACAUUCCCCCCCCAAAAUGUUCAUAAUGUCACCCCGGAAACCUGCGAAUAUGUUAUAUUACAUGACCAGGGAGAAGUAAGGUUGCAGAUGGCAGUAAGGUUGCUAAUGGGCUGACCUUAAGAUAAGGAGAUGAUCCUGGAUUAUCUGGGUGGACCCAAUGUAAUCACAAGGGUCCUUAACUGUGGAAUAGUGAGGUGGCUGAGUCAGAGGCAGAGUGAUGCAAUGACUGAAAGACUUAACCAGCCAUCACCGGCUUUGAAUACGGAAGACGGUCAUGAGCCAGGGAAUGCAGGCAGGCUCUGGGAGCUGAAAAAAGCAAGAAAAUGGAUUCUCCCCUGGAGCCUCCAGAAGGGAUGCGGUCCUGCCAACCCCUUGUCAGUGAGCCAUUUCAGAUUUCUGACUUCCAGGACUGUAAGAAAAUAAACUUGUCUUGUUUUCAGCCA